GACGAACGCUGGCGGCGCGCUUAACACAUGCAAGUCGAGCGAGAACCAAGCCUUCGGGCUUGGGGAAAGCGGCGAACGGGUGAGUAACACGUGGGUAACCCACCCUUGGUACUGGGAUAGCCCGGGGAAACCCGGAUUAAUACCGGAUGGCCCAACAGCUCUUCGGGGCGGUUGGAAAAGGUAGCUUCGGCCUCCGACCAAGGACGGGCCCGCGGCGGAUUAGCUUGUUGGUGGGGUAAUGGCCCACCAAGGCGACGAUCCGUAGCUGGUCUGAGAGGACGAUCAGCCACACUGGGACUGAGACACGGCCCAGACUCCUACGGGAGGCAGCAGUGGGGAAUCUUGCGCAAUGGGCGAAAGCCUGACGCAGCGACGCCGCGUGGGGGAAGAAGGCUUUCGGGUUGUAAACCCCUUUCAGGAGAGACGAAGCCACUCAGGUUAAUAGCCGAGAGGGUGACGGUACCUUCAGAAGAAGCCCCGGCUAACUACGUGCCAGCCGCCGCGGUAACAC
RNAcentral lists this ribosomal RNA (511 nucleotides) under uncultured bacterium. RNAcentral describes it as "bacterial SSU rRNA". It matches the Rfam family "Bacterial small subunit ribosomal RNA", at positions 28 to 526 of the family's 1533-position model. The record is from RNAcentral.